UGUAGAUUCUGAGAAAAGAAAAUUACAGGAAACGAGCAUGUGCACAGCGCUGAGGGAAGCAUAUGCUUGGCAAGCUCGAGGAACAGCAAGGAGACCAGGACAUUUGCAGCAGAGUGAACAAUGGAGAAGCAGCAGAUGAGGCCAGAAAUACACUCAGGAGCAAAACCUGUAGAGCCUUAAAGAUCACGUCCUAUGCUUCCUGGAUACAUGGCAGUCAGCCUUUGAUCUUGGUGCCUCUGGAUAGCUGCAUGCUCCACUUUUCCAGCAGAUGACUGACCAAAUAACAACAACAACAACAAAAAAAUGAGCGCAAGAUAAAAUCAUGCUUGUCAACAC
Molecule: long non-coding RNA, 336 nt
Organism: Felis catus (domestic cat)
Lineage: Eukaryota; Metazoa; Chordata; Mammalia; Carnivora; Felidae
Exons: 3
Source: RefSeq, a predicted model, not a curated record